Molecule: small RNA, 1053 nt
Filed under: Xanthomonas sp. C33
Lineage: Bacteria; Pseudomonadati; Pseudomonadota; Gammaproteobacteria; Lysobacterales; Lysobacteraceae
Description: bacterial LSU rRNA
Rfam family: Bacterial large subunit ribosomal RNA (bases 634-1053)
Source: RNAcentral
CGCCUCCCCUUGGGAUUUGUUGCACCAGAGCAGGUAGCUUAACCUUCGGGAGGGCGCUUGCCACGGUGUGGCCGAUGACUGGGGUGAAGUCGUAACAAGGUAGCCGUAUCGGAAGGUGCGGCUGGAUCACCUCCUUUUGAGCAUGACGUCAUCGUCCUUGCGGGCGUCCUCACAAAUUACCUGCAUUCAGAGAUGCGUAUCGGCACAGGCCGGUAUGCGAAAGUCCCAUCAUGGGGCCUUAGCUCAGCUGGGAGAGCACCUGCUUUGCAAGCAGGGGGUCGGGGUUGUUCCUCCGGGGGGCCCCACCUUUUUGGGUGAAAAACGACUUUGGGUCUGUAGCUCAGGUGGUUAGAGCGCACCCCUGAUAAGGGUGAGGUCGGUGGUUCGAGUCCUCCCAGACCCACCACUCUGAAUGUAGUGCACACUUAAGAAUUUAUAUGGCUCAGCGUUGAGGCUGAGACAUGUUCUUUUAUAACUUGUGACGUAGCGAGCGUUUGAGAUAUCUAUCUAAACGUGUCGUUGAGGCUAAGGCGGGGACUUCGAGUCCCUAAAUAAUUGAGUCGUAUGUUCGCGUUGGUGGCUUUGUACCCCACACAACACGGCAUGUGACCCUGAGGCAACUUGGGGUUAUAUGGUCAAGCGAAUAAGCGCACACGGUGGAUGCCUAGGCGGUCAGAGGCGAUGAAGGACGUGGUAGCCUGCGAAAGUGUCGGGAGCUGGCAACAAGCUUUGAUCCGGCAAUAUCCGAAUGGGGAAACCCACUGCUUCGGCAGUAUCCUGCAGUGAAUUCAUAGCUGCUGCAGCGAACCCGGUGAACUGAAAUAUUCUAGUACGGAGGAAAAGAAAUCACCGAGAUUCCCUAGUAGUGACGGGCGACGGGGAGGAGCCCUUAGCUGAAUGCUUUAGAAAACAUUCUGAAAGAUUGCAUAGAGUGGAAGCCCUGUAUUAAUGCACUCAUGGAACAGAUAGGCGGCACGUGACUGCCGAUAUGGGACCUCUCUCAAGCUAAAUUCCUGACGCACGAUUGAACCGUCUGGAGGUAAAUGAGACCCC